Molecule: ribosomal RNA, 115 nt
Filed under: Escherichia coli
Lineage: Bacteria; Pseudomonadati; Pseudomonadota; Gammaproteobacteria; Enterobacterales; Enterobacteriaceae
Source: RNAcentral
CUGGCGGCCUUAGCGCGGUGGUCCCACCUGACCCCAUGCCGAACUCAGAAGUGAAACGCCGUAGCGCCGAUGGUAGUGUGGGGUCUCCCCAUGCGAGAGUAGGGAACUGCCAGAC